CCAGACUCCUACGGGAGGCAGCAGUGGGGGAUAUUGCACAAUGGGGGAAACCCUGAUGCAGCGACGCCGCGUGAGUGAAGAAGUAUUUCGGUAUGUAAAGCUCUAUCAGCAGGGAAGAAAUAGCGACCUUUGGGUCGCCAGACGGUACCUGAUUAAGAAGCCCCGGCUAACUACAUGCCAGCAGCCGCGGUAAUACGUAGGGGGCAAGCGUUAUCCGGAUUUACUGGGUGUAAAGGGAGCGCAGACGGCAGGGCAAGUCUGAUGUGAAAGUCCGGGGCUCAACCCCGGGACUGCAUUGGAAACUGUCCGGCUAGAGUGCAGGAGAGGUAAGUGGAAUUCCUAGUGUAGCGGUGAAAUGCGUAGAUAUUAGGAGGAACACCAGUGGCGAAGGCGGCUUACUGGACUGUAACUGACGUUGAGGCUCGAAAGCGUGGGGAGCAAACAGGAUUAGAUACCCCUGUA
RNAcentral lists this ribosomal RNA (462 nucleotides) under uncultured bacterium. Its description in RNAcentral is "bacterial SSU rRNA". It matches the Rfam family "Bacterial small subunit ribosomal RNA", at positions 331 to 792 of the family's 1533-position model. The record is from RNAcentral.